GACCCUGCCAGAUUCCACGAUUUGGGGAUUCCCUAUGAGGAGCCGGCGCGUCGUCCUCAUCGCAGGCGGGCGGGUGUUGGCAUGUGCGCGUACGGAGGAGCUCCACCUCACCCACUUCAGCUUCCUCCUGUCGUCAUCAUCGUCCUCCGCGCGACCACGCCAGCUUCCAUGGUUUGGGGGAGCCUUCCCUAUGAGGAUCCAGCGUGUCGUCCUCGUCGCACCCUAAUUAGGUUCCUGGUGUGUCCGCACCGCCGCACCCUAAUUUGAUUUCGACUAGAGUCUAGGACGUCAGCGCACCAGUUUACUAAUCAGGUCGUUAGCACUGCCGUCCAGGUGAUAAUAAACGUCGUUCACCACAACAAGAGGUGAGAGGCAGAUUCCAGAUAAGGUAUGCCCUAGCUGGUUUUAUGAACCAGAGGCGAGAGGCAGAUUCUUGAUUAUGAUUUUUAACUGGAUCUUAUAUUAUCAUAGCUUUAUGCUAAUUUCCAAAAAUAAUUGUCCUUUUCAAUUUUAGUACUGUCAUGCCAUCUCGAAAGUAUGCAUUGAGAAGAAAUUGUUGGAUGAGAUAGAUAGUUACUAUCAUUACUAAUUUACUAAUUUGCAUCUCGGAUGAUUUUAUUACUAUUUGAUAUGCUUAAUGAUUUUAGAUGCCCUUUUUUGGCCUCUAAAUUUAUGUCUACAUAGAUUGAUUAUUAUUUAGACCUUUAUACUAAAGGCCCUGGAUUUUUGUUUCGCCCUGGGCCCCUAAAAUCCGAGGACCGGACCUGCCGGCAGCACUUGAUUCUAUUUUAGCUGCAACCAAGUAUCUACUUUAAAGUUAUAUAGAUCAGAUUUUGUUGAUAAAGCUGAUUUUCCUGAUCCUAUAAUCCUUGUUCUGUCAAGCCAAACAUGUCAUUUUCUUUAAGUUUGCAUAACUGUAGUUUUUAUUUGUCAAUUUUCUAAAGUUUUAUGAACACUUCUGUUUUUCUGUCGAGCACUAAUAGAGAGAAAACUGUUUUCUUAUUUUUAACAGGGAGCAAACUGUGUAGCAAGAUCAAUAAUGAAUGGUUCAAGUCAUGUGUUACAAGUUACAAUGAGCAGGUGGUACUCAAGUCCGUUGAUGAUAAGGAUAUUAUUCGAACAUUUACUGCAAUGAGGUCUCGGAAAGGGCAUUUGCCUCGUGAUUGUCUUUAGUGCGCUGUCGGUAUUCGGCAUGUUCCAUCUGACCAUCUAUAUUCUUGCAAGCUUUUGAUUUGUAAUAUAUUCAAAUAAUUUGUAUUUAAAAAUUAUGGGUUAGUAGAUCCGUUUUAAUUUGCAUUUCUAUUCUUGCAAGUAUUCGGUAUUUGCAUUCUUUUGUCCAUGCUUUAAUUCCUAGAUCCUGUUUGUUUCGGCAGCAUUGUUACUUUGUUGUUUCUUCUGCUACAAGCCCCAUGGUUAUAGUAAACCUUCUUAUUUUAAGCAUCCUAUCAAACCUACUUAAACAAACGUGUGCCUUUUUGCCCACAUCUUCAUGCUAUUCAUCUGCAUGUUGCCUUGCAUAUAUAUAUUUGGUCAAAAAGCAUACGGUUUCACCACAACGGGUAACACACAGGCCAUAUGUGUCCUCUGCUUAUGGAUCUGUACUUGUGUUUCGUAUAUGCUAACCAUACUUUCUGUUGCUCUCACCAAACUCUCGUGUUAACUGUUGAGUGAUGGGAUCAGUUCAUGACCUAACUAAAACCUCUGAUCCAACACCUCAUCAUACUUUUGGUCAGACAUGCAUAUUAGGCCAACGGCACAUUUUAGUGAAUGAAAACUAUGAGAUGAGAAUAAAUAGGCGCUCUGUUUGGUUCAGAUAUUUUCAUACAUAAUUUGAUGUACUUCUCAUGGAUAUCUUCUUACACGUGAGCUUAUUUUGAAGAUGAUAAUAAGUUUCUGCCUUAGAGUUAAUGCAUAGUAUAUGACCGUCAAUCUCCAGUUCGAGGAAGAUUUUGGAGCAGCAACAUACAAGCAGAGCUAAGAUUGGUCCAUCCACUUCAUUUAUUUUCUGAAAAGGAAUUGAUGAAUGAGAGUAUAUUUUGAGAGAUCCAUCUAUAUGGUACGUUCAAUGCUGAUUUGAUACUUUUGCGCAUGUCUCGUGCAGGCAUGCCAGCGCCUUCGUCGACCUCCACUCGCCAAUCUGUAACGCCCAUGCCCGUGGUGGCGGGUCACACUCUGAUGCAGCCGUGCACGCCGCCGCUACCAGACGACACCCCCAUCGAGUAAUACACCCCAGUUGAGAUUUUCUAUAUCAUCUCUGCCAAGGCGCAGUCAUCGGAAGAGAUUCAGGUAAGAUUAUCCUUGUUUUCUACAUCAAAUUUUGCAUGUUCAUCUAUCUAAUCUUUGAUACUACAUUUCUUAGCUAAUGUCCUCCUUGCCUGUACCAUGUUCAUAUGAUUAACAAAGGCUUGGCCAUCUUAAUAUAGUAGCCCGUGAGGUGGAUAUAUAUACUACUCCCUCCAUUCCUAAAUAUAAGUCUUUUUACAGAUUCCAAUAUGGACUACUGAAUGAAUCUACACUCUAAAGAAUGUCUAUAUGCAUCCGUAUGUAGUCCAUAUUGAAAUUUCUAAAUGGACUUAUAUUUAGAAACAGAGGGAGUACUUCAGUUUGCAUGAUAGAAUAAUCACUUAUAUGUGUGCCUUGAUAUUAUAGUAGGAUUGCUUGGAUUAUUUCUGUAGUACUUUGUCCAAAAAUGUUGGUCUAAUCCCUAGCUCACUUGAACCUGGGUGAACAGUAAAAUAAUUAAAAAAUCUGAUGUUUUUUAGUGUGAAACAUUGACAAAUGUUUUCAUAGCGAAUAGAAAUUUUUCACCAGAUGACAUUCGUGGAAAAUAUAUCCAAAAAAUAGUUGCAAAUUUAUCACCAGAUAACAUUGUGGAAAAUAGUUGCGUCCGUACAGUGUGUUCUUCGUCGAAUUUGUGUUUGAUUUUUUCACUAUAUAUUACUUCUUGCUUGCGCGAGGGUGGUGUAGAUUUGUUAUUUUUUGCCCCGAAAAGAAGGUAGUCAGAUUAGUAGUCUAAUUGAGUAGAUGCUGGUGAGGGAGGGUUACUUGAUUUUUAUUGAGUACAUUAUGCUCUGCUUUGUGAGGAGGUUUGAAAUUUGAUGGUUCUGAUAUGUAAUAGAGGGGGCAAAAGUGUUAUCCAUUUCAUUGUUUCUGUGCAUGUUUACGUUGACCAUCGGUGGCGGGAGGCGGCAUUGCUGGCGGCCGAAGGGGUGCUUGUGGAAGCAGGUGGAAUAGUCGGCAACUGUGGGGAUUCGUUAUUCUCCAAGGUUGGCGGGCUCGACGCGAGGCUCGAUGGGGCUGCGGGAUUGUCAAGCAGGCGGGUGAUUGCUCAACGAUGACUGGAGACGAUCUUCGGUAUUACAACUGGUUUAUACCAAUGGGUUAUUUGCAUCUCAAGUUAAAUUAGUCACUAUUGAUCAACAAUGAGAUGUGGCCAUUGUUUGAUGGAUCAUUGAUGGUACGGAUGUGCAAUGAAACAAUGAUAUACCCACUGUAUUGGACCCAAACACCUUCCUGAAAAUUGUUCUGAAGGGGUUAGCACAAGGAAACUAUUGUUAUGACUUGCGAGGUCUACUGGAGGUGACCGGAUCCGGAUGACUUGAGAAAAGCUGUGAAAAUUCACGGCAAGGGAUGGGGGUACAAGGCAUGGGUCUGCGGCGCCACACUUUGCUGUUCCCUGUCGGUGGCCAGCGAGCUGUGGCGGUGCUUCUCUGUUGCAUGGCGAGGGACUGGGGUGCAAGGCGUGCAUCUGCAGUGCCACUCCUGGGGCAUGCCUCUCCCGCGACAUUGCCGGCAUACACAACAUACCUUACUACACGGGGAUUUCCUCUCUGAACUAAAUAUUAUGUCAGAACUGAAUAUUACGUUCGAAGACUGAAACAUCCAGAAAGCUUAUUGAGACUAUUCAUUGAUGGUGUUUCUCUACUACACGAGGAAGUUUCAUGUGCCAAUUAGGCAUGGACGGCGACGGCCAUGAUCCCAUCAUCGCAAGCUCACGGGAGGGAGACACACGUCUCAUCCAGUGUAAUAGCACGCUCCAAAAAAUCCCUAACCCUCCAUGGAGCCAUUGCCAGGGUGAUGAGAUCAACACCACCCACCAGCACCACCACCGAGUCGUAGACGGCGUGUCAUGGUGGUCCCUAGCUCUUCCCGCCUCUUAAGAGACCACAUGGCAUUCUGGCAGUUCUGGUGCAGUUUUUGGCAAAGGCUGGAAGCCAAGAACACUUAAUUUUGAUCAUGGACGUGACAUUGUGGUCGGCGUUGUGUGGUGCAGUUCAAAGUUUUCUUGCCUAGCGUAUAACAAUGCAUGUUCAAUGGGGUAGCCUCUUCUCAGGCACGAGUAUCCGAGGCAGACCAUGACAUCUAUUUAGAAUAGCUACAACAAAAUUGUGACAGAGAUGGUUAGUGGGAGAAGGAACUUGAGACCACAGUCAAUUCUGCUGUAGGGGCUGUGUGUAGAAGAUAGUAGUAGCAAACAUAGAAGUCACUUUGGAAAAAAAAGUGUGCAUAUAUUGUUGUACUAGAGAUCCAUUCCUAUAUUUCACUGAUAUGCAUGGUUGAACUGUAGUAUGUGUGAUAAGUGAUAAUAAUGUAAUAUGAAGCGAAACGUGGUGGACAGGGCUUCACAUUGUUG
RNAcentral lists this ribosomal RNA (4633 nucleotides) under Triticum aestivum (bread wheat). RNAcentral's name for it is "partial small subunit ribosomal RNA". The record is from RNAcentral. Lineage: Eukaryota; Viridiplantae; Streptophyta; Magnoliopsida; Poales; Poaceae.